RNAcentral lists this ribosomal RNA (309 nucleotides) under uncultured eukaryote. Its description in RNAcentral is "partial 18S ribosomal RNA". It matches the Rfam family "Eukaryotic small subunit ribosomal RNA", at positions 1470 to 1796 of the family's 1831-position model. The record is from RNAcentral.
CCCUUAGAUGUUCUGGGCGGCCCGCGCACUACAAUGGCGUGUGCAGCGAGUGCCGAAGUAGAGUUUUCCGAGGUAUUCUUGCAAUGCUCGUUUUGAUGGGGAUAGACCCUUGCAACUGUUGGUUUUGAACGAGGAAUUCCUUGUAAGCAUGGUUUAUCAUCCGACGCUGAAUGCGUCCCUGCCCUUUGUACACACCGCCCGUCGCUCCUACCGAUGAGUCGUCCGGUGAAGUUCGUAGACCUCGUGAUCGCGGAUCACUGGGGGAAGCAAAAUGAACCUCGCGGUUUAGAGGAAUGAGAAGUCGUAACA